This 325-nucleotide long non-coding RNA is filed under the name Homo sapiens (human). RNAcentral's name for it is "non-protein coding lnc-RWDD4-4:1". Lineage: Eukaryota; Metazoa; Chordata; Mammalia; Primates; Hominidae. The record is from RNAcentral.
UAAAUGUGAAUAUAUAGCAGUACAAACUGUCCAAACUAAAACACACAGAGAGAAAAAAAGACUGAAAAAAAGAAUAAAAUAUAAGUGAACUAUGGGACAACUUCAGUUAGUCUAAUAUAUGUGUAAUUGUGUAACGGGAGUCUGGUGGGAAGAGGAAGCAGAGGAUCAUAAAAAAUAUUUGAAGAAAGAAUAGCCAAAACAUUUCCAAAUUUAAUGCAAACUAUUAAUCCACAGCUAAUUUUUUUUUUUUUUUUGGUAGAGAUGGGGUCUCCCUGUGUGGCCCAGGCUGGUCUUGAACUCCUUCUGUGAUCCUCCCACCUCAGCC